Molecule: ribosomal RNA, 433 nt
Filed under: uncultured bacterium
Lineage: Bacteria
Description: partial 16S ribosomal RNA
Rfam family: Bacterial small subunit ribosomal RNA
Source: RNAcentral
AGCGAACGCUGGCGGCAGGCCUAACACAUGCAAGUCGAACGAACUCUUCGGAGUUAGUGGCGGACGGGUGAGUAACACGUGGGAACGUGCCGUUUGGUUCGGAAUACUUCAGGGUAACUUGUGCUAAUACCGAAUGUGCUCCUCGGGGGCAAGAUUCAUCGCCAUUAGAGGGGCCGGCGUCUGUUUAGCCAGUGGGUGAGGUAACGGCCGACCAAGGCGACGAUCAGUAGCUGGUUUGAGAGGAAGGCCAGCGACACUGGGACUGGGACGCGGCGCAGACUCCUAGGGGAUGCGGGAGAGGGGGAUCUUGCGCAAUGGGGGGAGGCCUGACGGAGCCAUGCCGGGUGAAUGAUGAAGGUCUGAGGAUAGUGAAGUUCUUUCACCGGGGGCGAUAAUGACGGUACCCGGAGAAGAAGCCCCGGCUAACUUCGUG